This 323-nucleotide long non-coding RNA is filed under the name Ictidomys tridecemlineatus (thirteen-lined ground squirrel). Its description in RNAcentral is "lncRNA (ENSSTOG00000034198.1)". Lineage: Eukaryota; Metazoa; Chordata; Mammalia; Rodentia; Sciuridae. The record is from RNAcentral.
AAUUACAGGCGUUUUUUCACUGCCACCAGCUGACCUAUGUUUCAAUUGGAGGAGUAGGGACCAGAAGAAAACUGUGACUGUGCAAAGUUUGUCUUGUCUCAUCUGAGGCAGGGACCACCAGAAGACACCUGUUAGCUGCAGAAUGAACUAAGCCCUCCCUGGGGACAGGAGUGCUGAUCUCUGCCUGGUCCUGGGCCCAGUCAGUGUCUCUUCUCACACCUGUACUCCCAGGGAAACAGGUAAGAGGCCUCAGCUUUGCCUCCCCUUCACACUGGGCUGAGAUGGCCCAGGGCCCUCCUCUGACUGUUCAGACCCUUAUUUAG